Marmota monax (woodchuck) is the source of this 6036-nucleotide long non-coding RNA. RefSeq lists it as uncharacterized. The transcript has 2 exons. The record is from RefSeq and is a predicted model, not a curated record. Lineage: Eukaryota; Metazoa; Chordata; Mammalia; Rodentia; Sciuridae.
ACAGAGAACACCAGGGCUCACUGUGUUACGGCCUUUUCAUUCUCCAGCACAGGGUUUUGUGGCUGCCUUCUCACUUAGAAAGAUAAGGUGAGCAAAAUAGGGGGUCAGGUAUGCCCCUUGCUCUGUCCAGGUGGGGCGGACUGAAGGUUGUCAAUUUCAGGAAGACUUGGAGCAAAUAAAGCCCGGGUUCAUUUCUAUUGUCAGCCUCUAGCUACACUUUCUGCAUCCCAAUAAUCCAAGCUAAAAGUCACAUAAUUCCUAUCUGGACUUUCUUUAAGAUCAUACCGUCUCUGCAGUGUACAGAUCUCCUGAGCUCCUAGACAAGGCUGGUGCAUAUUUCAUCUAUAGAAUUCUCUAGAGCACCAGAUUAUCCUGAAUGAUAUCAGAUCUUGAUUGGUACAAACUUGUCUUUUAGAGAUCUCACUGUCCAGCUAACUUUUUCAGUCAUAUCGUUGCAGUGUGUAAAUGUUCCUAUAAAUGACUGCUUGAAGCAUUUCCAAAAAAUAACUAAAAUUUUUAUUUUUUAAUUGGUUCUUUUUAGUUAUAUAUGAGAGUAGAAUCCAUUUUGAUGAAAAUAAUACAAGCAUGGAAUGUUAACUUAUUCUAAUUAGGACCCCAUUCUUGUGGGUGGACACAAUGGUGGGAUUCACUUAGGUAUUUUCAUAUGUGUACAUAGAAAGAUAUGUUAGACUUAUUCUACUGUCUUUCCUAUUCCUAUCCCCCUUCCCUUCCCUUCAUUCCCCUUUGUCUAAUCUACUGAAUUUCUAUUCUCACCUCCAGCUUUACUGUGGUUUAGCUUCCACGUAUCAGCCAAAGCAUUCAACUUUUGGUUAAAAUUUUUAUUUUAAAAUAUAGAAUACAGAAUUUAAUUAAUUUCCCCAAUUGAAUGCAUUAAAAUAAUUAAAUGAUUUUUGUAUAACAGUUUUACUGAAGUGUUAUUGACAUACAUUAGUGCCACAUUUGAAGUUUACAAUCUGACAGGUUUUGAUGUAUCCAAAAUCAUCAACACAGUCAAGACAAUGAGUGACCAUUGAAAGUUACCUCUUGCCCCUUGGUAAUCUUUCCUUCUUGUUCUCUCUCCCCCCUUCAAAACUUUCUCCCACCAUCCUUAGACAACCACUGAUCUGCUUUCUAUCAUUAUUAAUUGGUUUGUAUUUUUAGAAUGUUGUUUAAAUAGAAUUUUAUAGUAUGUCCUCUUUUUAGGUUGGGGUGGGAGGAGUCUGAGUUCUUUAAUUCAGCAUGAGUAUUUUGAUAUUCAUGCUGCCUUUAUAAAUAGCUCAUUUCUUUUUUAUUGCAGAUUAGUGUUCAAGAUUAUGAAUAUACCAAAAAUAUAUAUCCAUUUGCCUGUUUGGGUUGUUUCCCAUUUUGUGACUACUACAAAUAAAUGUCCUAUGAGCAAUCAUUUCCAAGUCUUUGUAUGAGCAAUCAUUUUUAAGUCUUUGUUUGGGCAUAUUCCAUUUUCCCCCCCUGGAUAAAUAUAUAAGAAUGGAUGGCCAUGUCAAGUGUUAGCUGUGUAUUUAAAUAUUUAAGAUAUUUCCCUUUUACAUUUCCAUCAACAGUGUUUGAGAUUUCCAGUUGCUCAACGUCAUUGCCAACAGUAUGGUCCAGCUAAUCUCUUUCACUUUAGCCAUUCUUACAGGGUAAUAUGGUAUCUCAUUAUGGUUUUCGUUUGCAUUUCCCUCUUCACUAAUCAUGUUGAACAGAUGUUCCUGUUACUAUUUGUCAUUCAUACCACUUCUUUGGUAAAGCAUCUGAUCACAUUUUUUGACCAUUUUUAAAAUUGAGUGUUUGUUUGCAUAUUAUAGUUUUGAGUGUGCUUUACAUAGAAAUUAUGGAUAUGAGUCUUUUAUCAGAUAUAUGAUUUAUAAAUAUUUUCUUCCGUGCAGUAAUUUGUCUUUUUACUCUCCUAAAGUGUUUUAGAAAGAGCAGAAGUUUUCAAUUUUGAGAAGCCAAAUUUGAUGUUUUAGUGGACUAUAAUUUGGGUGGUAUAGCUAAAGAAAGCUUUGCUUAGCUCUUCAUCACAAAGAUUUUCCUCCUAUGGUUUCUUCUAGAAGCUUUAUAAUUGUAGGUUCAUUAAUUAGGUCUAGGAUUCAUUUUGAGUCAAUUUUUUGAUGGUGUGAAAUAUAAAUUGUAGUUUAUUUUUUGCAUAUGAAUAUCUAAUUUGUCUGGCACCAUAUGCUGAAAAAAAUUAUAUCCAGGGGACUGUUUGUGUACUUUUGUUGAAAACCAAUUGACCAUUUAUGUGUGAAUCUAUUCCUGGACUCUCUAUUUUGUUUAAUUACUCUAUUCAUUUUUUCUUAAGCCAGUACCACAUGUGCUGAUUUCUGGCAACUUUAAAGUUAGAUAGUGUGAAUUCUUUUCAAGAUUGUUUUGGCUAUUCUAGGUCCUUUGCAAUUCUAUACAAAUAAUGUAAUUUGUCUGUUAGUUCUUCAAAAGCAGUGUGCUAGAAUUUUGAUGAGGGUUGUAUUAAAUCUAUAAAUGAAUUUGGGCAGUGAUAUCAUAAUAAUAUUGAUUCCUUCAACCAUGAAAACAGUAUAACUCUCCAUUUACUUAUUUUGGUAUUCUCUAAUUUCUCUUGUAAGGGUAAAAGAAAUUGAAGUUAAAGUGUAAAAGUUAAAGUGUAAAAGACCGGGCAUUGUAAAGUUUCUAAGCUGCAAGGCCUGAGUUAAAAUGUAAAGGACUAGGUAUUGUUAAGUUCCUAUGCUACAUGCAAAACCUGAAAUUCCUGUAGCUGUUAAGACAAUGCUUGGAACCGCCCAGUAAAUAUUUCCCCUGACCGCCUGGUUGUUUAAUAACUUAAGGGCUCUGUGUGGUCUUGCAUGUAGGCAUCGCAGGGCCUAAACCAAUCAGUUUGAAUGUGUACCCAGCUUUAGAACUGACCUAUCACCCCCGCCCGACCUGUUCCCGCCAAUGUAUGUACUAAUCAAGUCUAAGAAUUGUUGUUUGACUUUCCCGCGGUGUAUGAUGAUUUGUUAAAGGAGACUGUGAUGUAUGUAAAGUCCCGCCCUCCCCAAAAAAGUGUACUUAAGCAGUGCUCAGCCCCUGCUCUGGGCUCUGGGCUGCUCUCUUUUCUCGAGUGGGCACGGAGCCCCAGCAUGCUGGAAUCUCAAUAAACCCCUUUUGCUGUUGCAUGAGUCGCGGUCCCUUGGUGGUCUCUUCCUCCCACGUUCGCCGGACCCUUACAUUUGGUGCGUUGGCCGGGAACAGCGCAUCGCCGGACAAGGAGACCCCAACGGACUCCUUUAGGGGGUAUACAAGUCUGUAAGGUAGAAGCUUCAAAAGAGCAUUAUAUCAAGCUGGUGUUCUAAAGUUGUACGGUAAUUUUAGGCUUAAAAGAAAAACAUGUUGGAGAUUUAUUUAUAUCAUUUGUGUUCUACAACUGGACUUAUUAUCAAUAAGAUAUGUACAGUUCCAUGUUACUUUUUACACUGAGAUACAAUUUAAAUGUAUUUUUAAGUUAAUGAGAGCCUAAUCUGUGUGACGGUUUUAUUGUAAAACACCAAAGUACUUUGCUACUUUUCUAUAAAAGGUUAAAAACUUUCAGCCUUACUUUAAUUCAUGUUUUAGAUGUGAUAUUAUGUUGUGUUAGCUAAUAUCCAUGUAAACUUGAGCAACAAUUUAUAUAGGCUUUGUAAAAUGAUGUCUAAAAAAAGCAAAGAUCAGCUUCAGAACUAUAAUAUUUAAGAUUUAUAAAGAGCCCCGCCUUACUUGAGAUAAGGCUCUAUGUCCAACCUCAUGUGAAAGAGAUUAUAAAAGAAGUAAGCCAGAUUUCAGUACAUUUAAAGUUGUGUCCAAAAGUAGGUUUUUGCCAAGAUUACUAGGAUCUCAAACUGGGAAUUAUGAUGUAUAACCCUGCCAGAAUUCAAGGUAGCUAUUAUAUAAGCUAAAUAUGUUUUUACCCUAGUUAGUUUUGUUUUGUAGUUUGCUUAUAGAUGGUUUAAGGAUUGCCUGUUAAUGUUUUAAAGAGGUACUGCUUUAAGAACACAACCUGGGUCAACUUAAGAUAAGGAGUUAUCACCUACAGGAUAGAGAGAUAGACGUUAAAGCCCAGUGCUCUUAAUAUAAGGCUGUUAACUUAUUUGCUGGAUGUUUAAGAUUAAGUUUUAAAAUUAAAAAUUUGGCUCUUGCCCUCUGAGUCAGUCUGAAUCAGGGAAUAGGGGACUUCUCCAAAGGGCUCUGCAACUCUAGGCCACAUAACCUCCUGAGCAGGGAGAUUAAUGAGACCAGUGGAGGACAGAAGGCCAAUCAGUGCAUUUGCUGUGAAGAGGAGGGUCAUCAGAAAGGGGAGACAUCCCUGAUGCUUCCAAGGGAAGCCACAUGGUCAAGCAAGGCCUGGACCCAUCCUAACGUAAAUGGCACUAGCAGAACUGAGAAGCUGCUGUGAAGUUCCCCGAGGACUCCCAGGGAAACUCAGCUGACUGUUAACAAUAGAUAAGAACAAAAGUCAGUUUGACUUGCUUCAUCUUAAACACUUAGCAAAGACAGUCAAAGCCAAAGCACAGCUGUUCCUGGGCAUUUUAAAUGAUAAUAAUAAUUAAAUGUAACUUCCAAAAAUAAGUAAACUGGAGGCUACAAAAGAGGUUCUCAGACAGAAAUGCCUGAUAACUAUUAAAAAGAACUGCCAGAGUAGUUUUUAGUUUAAGGCCCACAGAUAUUCCUAACCUACACAGGUAGGCUUGGUGUUUGCUAGUAUGGUUAUCCAGCCCUAAGUAACAAAAUUAAAGGUUUCUCUAUUAGACACAGAGGUCAUACUAGUAAAAAGGAUUUUACAAGAUCAGAUGGCAUUAAAUUAUUAGACUAUAUCUUAAAGGAAAGAACAUCUGUAAACCUAAAUGUUAAUUGUUGUGUUUACAUCCCUAACAUUUCUGGCAAUGUGACAAAUAUCCUUAAAGAUUUACAUGCUCAGAUAGAAGCCAUGUCCUCAGCAACUUUGUCAUGGAAACAAUAUCUUAGCUCCUGGUUCUUGGUACUUCCUGGUGGAAAACAUUGUUAGUCUUUGUCUUGGCCAUUGUACUCAUUGGCAUAUUCCUGUGCUGUGACAUUUAUUGCUGCAUCAAUAUGGUUCCAGUACUAAUGAAUUCUUGUUUCUCUUAUAGACCACCCAUCACUCAAAUGGCCCUCCAGCCUAUUACUUCUCAAUUGGACUUUUAUCAUGGACCACUCGAUAGACCCAAUAUUUUUUAAGGGGGACUCCAAACUGCUUGCCCCACACCAUCCCUUUUCAGCCUGAAGAAGCCAGAAAGAUCCUCUUCGCCCCCCUUCCUUACAGCAGUAAGGAGUUCCCAAAUUAGAGGGGGGGGGGAAUGAAGCCAGAUUUAAAGUUAGGUAGUCAGUGUAGUUAGAUAAAUCGGGGUCUAAUACCAAGUAAAAUCUAAAAUGGAGGCCAUGCAGAAAAUGAUUCCAGGGAACACAAAACAACUCAUGAAAUAUAAAACCCUUCAAUAAUUGUGAUUCAUUACUUUUAAGAUUAAAAGUAGUCAGAAAAAUGAGUGGGGAAUGUAAGGGUAAAAGAAAUUGAAGUUAAAGUGUAAAAGACCGGGCAUUGUAAAGUUUCUAAGCUGCAAGGCCUGAGUUAAAAUGUAAAGGACUAGGUAUUGUUAAGUUCCUAUGCUACAUGCAAAACCUGAAAUUCCUGUAGCUGUUAAGACAAUACUCAAACUGCCCAGUAAAUAUUUCCCCUGACCGCCUGGUUGUUUAAUAACUUAAGGGCUCUGUGUGGUCUUGCAUGUAGGCAUCGCAGGGCCUAAACCAAUCAGUUUGAAUGUGUACCCAGCUUUAGAACUGACCUAUCACCCCCGCCCGACCUGUUCCCGCCAAUGUAUGUACUAAUCAAGUCUAAGAAUUGUUGUUUGACUUUCCCGCGGUGUAUGAUGAUUUGUUAAAGGAGACUGUGAUGUAUGUAAAGUCCCACCCUCCCCAAAAAGUGUACUUAAACAUUGCACAACCCCUGCUCUGGGCUCUGGGCUGCUCUCUUUUCUCGAGUGGGCACAGAACCCCAGCAUGCUGGAAUCUCAAUAAACCCCUUUUGUUGUUGCA